This 480-nucleotide ribosomal RNA is filed under the name uncultured bacterium. RNAcentral's name for it is "partial 16S ribosomal RNA". It matches the Rfam family "Bacterial small subunit ribosomal RNA", at positions 28 to 507 of the family's 1533-position model. The record is from RNAcentral.
GACGAACGCUGGCGGCGCGCCUAACACAUGCAAGUCGAGCGAUGAAAUUUUAACCGCUCUCUUCGGAGAGAAGAUAAAAUGGAUUAGCGGCGGACGGGUGAGUAACACGUGAGAAACCUGCCUUUCACAAGGGGAUAGCCUCGGGAAACCGGGAUUAAUACCCUAUGACACAUUUCCUUCGCAUGGAAGAAAUGUUAAAACUCCGGUGGUGAAAGAUGGUCUCGCGCCUGAUUAGCUAGUUGGUGGGGUAACGGCCCACCAAGGCCAUGAUCAGUAACCGGCCUGAGAGGGUGAACGGUCACAUUGGAACUGAGACACGGUCCAAACUCCUACGGGAGGCAGCAGUGGGGAAUAUUGCACAAUGGAGGAAACUCUGAUGCAGCGACGCCGCGUGAGCGAUGAAGGCUUUCGAGUCGUAAAGCUCUGUCCUAUGGGAAGAUAAUGACGGUACCAUAGGAGGAAGCCCCGGCUAACUACGUG